UAUAAAAUAUAGCAAGUCACAUUGAUGGUUGGAAAUGGUAAGGUAAUAUUUCCUCAUCGUCCCAUUUUUUAUUUCACAGCCAACAUGUAAUUUAUGGGUGUGAAGAUGUCAGAGAGUCACUGUGAAAACAAAAUCUGUAGAGGCUUAAGGAAUAAAAGGCACAAAUUGGGAGAGAGAUAAUGGUGCCGUUGAGCAAAGAUAGUGAGGAACUCUUUUGUUUUUAUGAUUAUUGUAGAAGGAUAUAUGAUGUUUUCUGUCGCGCAGCCAUUAGGUUUUUUGGCAAAUAUAAUAAAUGUUAGCUCAGAGGCUACAGCACGAGCAAAAUGAGAAAGAAAGUAGGCAGAACGCCCCGAGGAAGAGAUUCAGAGUUAAUUACAGUGAUUGCAUGUGUUCAUUACCGCUGUCAGCAGAAUACACACAAAAAAAAAUCAAAAUCAAAAUUUAUACAAAGAACUUAGCAAAUGAAGAGAGAAAUUCAUGCUUUAAUUAUGCUGCUCAAAAACCCAAUCAAAAUGUUUUUAAGCCAAAAAACCUCAGAAAGAAAAGGAUUUAACUGGUUUUCAUUCUCAUUCAUUUAGAGGCUCAUUUUCAAGUGCGUGUAGUUUCAAGUACAAAAUGCUAACGAUGCUGGAAGCACCAGAGAGCUGCAACGUGCUGCUGAUGUUCCUCAAAGAACUUCUGUUUUAUUUGUAAAGUUCAAACAUAUUCCAUCUGAACGUGAGUUUUACAGAACAGAGACCGGAACGCAGACAUCAGAUUACAUGAAGUGAAACAGAGUCCCCAAAGACUUUCCAAUCAUUUCUUACAUAAACAUGCCAAGGUAUGAAUGACGUCUGAAUAUUAAACUAUGCUAAUUACAGAUGAUGCUAAUGGUAGUAGGUGGGCUACAGACAUAGAGUGGAUUAGGAAUUAAGAAUUAAAAAUCAUCUGGUGUUGAUGGGAGGGCCACAAAACAAAAAAUGCUUAGGGCCCCAAGAAGGCUUGGACCGGCCCUGCCUACAAGUGAAAACAUGAUUACGCUUGAAACAAACAGCCUGCCCUGAGUCAUGAGAAAUAAUCAAACACCUUGCCAAUAGUACUUAUGUUAAACUUAACACGCAUUAGCUGAGCUUCAUUACCAUCAUAUUUGCUUUAUCCAUCCAACAUUAGAAACGAUCCGUCUCUCCCUUCUUCGGUCGCCACGCGCUCGGCUACAGCUCUAAAUGAACACAUCCUUCAUUCGCGCGCGCUCAGCAGUUAAAAAACCCUCAACACGAAGCUGCUAUAAACCUCAUCAGGGACCCGGGGAGGGAGCUGGAGCUGCUGGACCGGAUAUUGAAAGCGGGGAGGGGAGAGUUACCGACUGAGUAUUCUCCCGACAGUUGGAGACUUUUUUCCUUUUAUUGCUCCCGAAUCGCCGCUUUGCGGCUCGGCAAAAAUGUUUGAGCAGCGGGAGAACAGAUGCGACAGGGUGUCAGAGAGGAUUUCAGAGCGACGUCACAUUUUACUCAUCUGCGGUUUGAGAUGCUUUUCAGAGGCAGAAGGGCUUCUGUCGGUGUAAAAGGAUUCGUAUUUCAGCCCUCCAGACUGCUGCAACAAAAAUAAUGAUAACAGCAGACUCGGUUGGACCACUGAAGGCAUUCACGACGCCGUUAUGAGGCUCCAUUCCUGAAGGACCCCCAGAUGUAGGCUAUGCAUUUCUUGACAACUGUGUUACUGUGCCAGUGCUUUUUAUAGACUCCCACCUCGACUGGCUGCCAGAUUGACGUCUUCUUCUCGUGACAUUGUGAGAAAAAUAAAAAAACCGAAGGCUUUGAUUGGCCUGUGAGCUCUGGAGUGCCAUGAAACGGCUUUUGAGCUUCAAAAAGUCACAGGCUGUCACAGCGGACUGGAACCAUGAUUUAGCAUCUGGAGUGUAAAUGAAAUGCAAAAGGACAGUAAAA
This is a non-coding RNA of Poecilia reticulata (guppy), 1922 nucleotides long. NCBI's taxonomy places the organism in Eukaryota, Metazoa, Chordata, Actinopteri, Cyprinodontiformes, Poeciliidae. The record is from RefSeq and is a predicted model, not a curated record.